UUGUCUCGUCAGGCCAUGAAGGGCUGGGGGGCGAACCUUGGUGCUAACCUCCGGGCCCAUAAAGGGGCCCUGCUAGAUCAGAUUAAGGUGCUGGACGACCUUGCUGACGGGCAGGGCUUGUCUCCUGACGACUGGCUUAGGAGAUACGCCCUCGAGGCCUCGCUCAUGGACAUUUACAAGAACGAGGAGCUAUUCUGGCAACGUCGAGGGGGCCAGAACUGGCUUCUCAAGGGGGAUGCGAACACUGCCUACUUCCAGGCGAUUGCUAAUGGCCGCAGGCGUAAGUGUCCCAUCCUGAUCCUUUGGGAUGGGGAUGUUCUUCUGGAAAGCUUAGAGGACAUCUCCACCCAUAUUUACUCCUUUUAUAAGGAGUUGUUUUCGGCCGCCUGCUGA
Molecule: ribosomal RNA, 393 nt
Filed under: Triticum aestivum (bread wheat)
Lineage: Eukaryota; Viridiplantae; Streptophyta; Magnoliopsida; Poales; Poaceae
Description: partial small subunit ribosomal RNA
Source: RNAcentral